RNAcentral lists this ribosomal RNA (503 nucleotides) under uncultured bacterium. RNAcentral describes it as "partial 16S ribosomal RNA". It matches the Rfam family "Bacterial small subunit ribosomal RNA", at positions 30 to 523 of the family's 1533-position model. The record is from RNAcentral.
AUUGAACGCUGGCGGCAGGCUUAACACAUGCAAGUCGAGCGGGGUGAUGGUGCUUGCACUAUCACUUAGCGGCGGACGGGUGAGUAAUGCUUAGGAAUCUGCCUAUUAGUGGGGGACAACAUCUCGAAAGGGAUGCUAAUACCGCAUACGUCCUACGGGAGAAAGCAGGGGAUCACUUGUGACCUUGCGCUAAUAGAUGAGCCUAAGUCGGAUUAGCUAGUUGGUGGGGUAAAGGCCUACCAAGGCGACGAUCUGUAGCGGGUCUGAGAGGAUGGUCCACCACACGGGGACUGGGACACGGCCCAGAGUCAUACGGGAGGCAGCAGUGGGGAAUAUUGGACAAUGGGGGGAAACCUGAUCCAGCCAUGCCGCGUGUGUGAAGAAGGCCUUAUGGAUGUAAAGCACUUUAAGCGAGGAGGAGGCUCUUUUGGUUAAUACCCAAGAUGAGUGGACGUUACUCGCAGAAUAAGCACCGGCUAACUCUGUGCCAGCCGCCGCGGUAA